RNAcentral lists this ribosomal RNA (463 nucleotides) under Leptotrichia sp. 'ARUP UnID 387'. Its description in RNAcentral is "bacterial SSU rRNA". It matches the Rfam family "Bacterial small subunit ribosomal RNA", at positions 27 to 506 of the family's 1533-position model. Lineage: Bacteria; Fusobacteriati; Fusobacteriota; Fusobacteriia; Fusobacteriales; Leptotrichiaceae. The record is from RNAcentral.
GGAUGAACGCUGACAGAAUGCUUAACACAUGCAAGUCUUUGGCGAAUCUGUGCUUGCACAGGCUAGCCAAGGCGGACGGGUGAGUAACGCGUAAAGAACUUGCCCUGCAGACAGGGAUAACAGACGGAAACGACUGAUAACACCUGAUACAAUUGCYGGCACGCAUGUGCCUGGCAAUGAAAAGAGAUGCUGCRGGAGAGCUUUGCRUCCUAUUAGCUUGUUGGUGAGGUAACGGCUCACCAAGGCGAUGAUAGGUAGCCGGCCUGAGAGGGUGAACGGCCACAAGGGGACUGAGAUACGGCCCUUACUCCUACGGGAGGCAGCAGUGGGGAAUAUUGGACAAUGGGGGCAACCCUGAUCCAGCAAUUCUGUGUGCACGAAGAAGGUUUUCGGAUUGUAAAGUGCUUUCAGCAGGGAAGAAGAAAGUGACGGUACCUGCAGAAGAAGCGACGGCUAAAUACGU